CAGUCGCCGCGGUAAUACGUAGGGUGCGAGCGUUAAUCGGAAUUACUGGGCGUAAAGCGUGCGCAGGCGGUUGUGUAAGACAGGUGUGAAAUCCCCGGGCUUAACCUGGGAACUGCGCUUGUGACUGCACAGCUAGAGUAUGGCAGAGGGGGGUGGAAUUCCACGUGUAGCAGUGAAAUGCGUAGAGAUGUGGAGGAACACCGAUGGCGAAGGCAGCCCCCUGGGCCAAUACUGACGCUCAUGCACGAAAGCGUGGGGAGCAAACAGGAUUAGAUACCCCUGUAGUCCCUGUCUCUUAUAU
Molecule: ribosomal RNA, 301 nt
Filed under: uncultured bacterium
Lineage: Bacteria
Description: partial 16S ribosomal RNA
Rfam family: Bacterial small subunit ribosomal RNA
Source: RNAcentral